This 914-nucleotide ribosomal RNA is filed under the name Siminovitchia thermophila. RNAcentral's name for it is "bacterial SSU rRNA". It matches the Rfam family "Bacterial small subunit ribosomal RNA", at positions 1 to 896 of the family's 1533-position model. The record is from RNAcentral. Lineage: Bacteria; Bacillati; Bacillota; Bacilli; Caryophanales; Bacillaceae.
UCCCCCGGGGGGUUUUUUUUUUUUUAAUUUUUACCGUCGGAAAACGGGGGGGCGUCCUAAUACAUCAAGUCGAGCGGCAGAAGAGGAGUUGCUCCUUGAAGUCAGCGGCGGACGGGUGAGUAACACGUGGGCAACCUGCCUGUAAGACUGGGAUAACUCCGGGAAACCGGGGCUAAUACCGGAUAAUUUCUUUUUUCGCAUGGAGAAAUGAUAAAAGACGGUUAAGUUGUCACUUACAGAUGGGCCCGCGGCGCAUUAGCUAGUUGGUGGGGUAACGGCCUACCAAGGCAACGAUGCGUAGCCGACCUGAGAGGGUGAUUGGCCACCCUGGGACUGAGACCCGGCCCAGACUCCUUCGGGAGGCAGCCGUAGGGAAUUUUUCGCAAUGGACGCAAGUUUGACGGAGCAACGCCGCGUGAGUGACGAAGGCCUUCGGGUUGUAAAACUUUGUUAUCAGGGAAGAACCCGCAUCGGAGUAACUGCUGAUGCGUUGGCGGUACCUGGCCAGAAAGCCCCGGCUAACUACGUGCCAGCCGCCGCGGUAAUACGUAGGUGGCAAGCGUUGUCCGGAAUUAUUGGGCGUAAAGCGCGCGCCGGCGGCUUAUUAAGUUUGAUGUGAAAGCCCACGGCUCAACCUUGGAGGGUCAUUGGAAACUGGGAGGCUUGAGUGCAGAAGAGGAGAGCGGAAUUCCACGUGUAGCGGUGAAAUGCGUAGAGAUGUGGAGGAACACCAGUGGCGAAGGCGGCUCUCUGGUCUGUAACUGACGCUGAGGCGCGAAAGCGUGGGUAGCGAACAGGAUUAGAUACCCUGGUAGUCCACGCCGUAAACGAUGAGUGCUAAGUGUUAGGGGGUUUCCGCCCCUUAGUGCUGCAGCUAACGCAUUAAGCACUCCGCCCUGGAGUACGCAACGGGC